RNAcentral lists this ribosomal RNA (254 nucleotides) under uncultured bacterium. Its description in RNAcentral is "partial 16S ribosomal RNA". It matches the Rfam family "Bacterial small subunit ribosomal RNA", at positions 524 to 776 of the family's 1533-position model. The record is from RNAcentral.
CACGUAGGGUGCGAGCGUUGUCCGGAAUUAUUGGGCGUAAAGAGCUCGUAGGCGGGGUGUCGCGUCGGCCGUGAAAACCUGCAGCUUAACUGUGGGCGUGCGGUCGAUACGGGCAUCACUGGAGUUCGGCAGGGGAGACUGGAAUUCCUGGUGUAGCGGUGAAAUGCGCAGAUAUCAGGAGGAACACCGGUGGCGAAGGCGGGUCUCUGGGCCGAUACUGACGCUGAGGAGCGAAAGCGUGGGGAGCAAACAGG